This 1412-nucleotide ribosomal RNA is filed under the name Marinilabilia salmonicolor. Its description in RNAcentral is "partial 16S ribosomal RNA". It matches the Rfam family "Bacterial small subunit ribosomal RNA". Lineage: Bacteria; Pseudomonadati; Bacteroidota; Bacteroidia; Marinilabiliales; Marinilabiliaceae. The record is from RNAcentral.
UUUAGGGUUUNNNAUCUGGCUCAGGAAGAACGCUAGCGACAGGCCUAACACAUAUAAGUUGAGGGGUAACAUGAGAGCUUGCUCUUGAUGACGACCGGCGCACGGGUGAGUAACGCGUAUGCAACCUUCCUUUAACAGGAGAAUAGCCCCCGGAAACGGGGAUUAAUGCUCCAUGGCACUCUGUUUUGGCAUGGAAAAAUAGUUAAAGUUCCGACGGUUAAAGAUGGGCAUGCGUGACAUUAGCCAGUUGGCGGGGUAACGGCCCACCAAGGCAACGAUGUCUAGGGGUUCUGAGAGGAAGGUCCCCCACACUGGUAGUGAGACACGGACCAGACUCCUACGGGAGGCAGCAGUGAGGAAUAUUGGUCAAUGGACGCAAGUCUGAACCAGCCAUGUCGCGUGCAGGAUGACUGCCCUAUGGGUUGUAAACUGCUUUUGUACGGGAAGAAAUAUUCUUACGUGUAAGUAUUUGCCGGUACCGUACGAAUAAGCAUCGGCUAACUCCGUGCCAGCAGCCGCGGUAAUACGGAGGAUGCGAGCGUUAUCCGGAUUUAUUGGGUUUAAAGGGUGCGUAGGCGGAAUGGUAAGUCAGUGGUGAAAUCCUGCAGCUCAACUGUAGUUGUGCCAUUGAUACUGUCAUUCUUGAGUACAGAUGAGGUAGGCGGAAUGAGUAGUGUAGCGGUGAAAUGCAUAGAUAUUACUCAGAACACCAAUUGCGAAGGCAGCUUACUAAACUGACACUGACGCUGAAGCACGAAAGCGUGGGUAUCAAACAGGAUUAGAUACCCUGGUAGUCCACGCCGUAAACGAUGAUUACUGGUUGUUUGCGAUACACAGCACGCGACUGAGCGAAAGCGUUUAAUAAUCCCCCCGGGGAGUACACCUCCCACGAUGAAACUCUCAGGAAUUGACGGGGGCCCCCACAAACGGUGGAACAUGUGGGUUUAUUCUAUGAGACACGAGGAAACUUACCCGGGUUUAAAUGUGAAGUGACACGGGUAGAAAUACCUUUUUCCUCUGACACUUUUUAAAGUGCUGCAUGUGUGUCGUCAGCUCCUGCCGCGAGGUGUCGGGUUAAGUCCCACAACGAGCGCAACCCCCGUUGUUAUUUGACCACCACAUAAAGGUGGGGACUCUGACAAGACUGGCGACGUAAACAGCGAGGAGGGUGGGAAUGAUAACAAAACUGCACCGCCCUUUCGUCCUGGGGUACACACAUGUUGCAAUGGGCGGUACCCAGAGAACCUCCACGGCCACCAGAUGCUUAAAUCCAAUCACAGUCCCCAUUGUAAUUGUAAGCUGCCACACCAAGCUUGAUUGAUGGAAACCCGGAUCACCGCCCGGCAUACACGCCGCGCCGAGAACUUGUCCCCGCCUCUUCACACCCGGACGUUUGCCCCCCAAACGCGUGU